Molecule: ribosomal RNA, 329 nt
Filed under: uncultured eukaryote
Lineage: Eukaryota
Description: partial 18S ribosomal RNA
Rfam family: Eukaryotic small subunit ribosomal RNA
Source: RNAcentral
CCCUUAGAUGUCCUGGGCCGCACGCGCGCUACACUGAGUGUCUGAGAUACGAGUCUGCCUGGUCCGGCAAGGUCUAGGUAAUCGCUAAAAGACACAUCAUGCUUGGGAUAGAUUAUUGCAAAUAUUAAUCUUGAACGAGGAAUUCCUAGUAAGCGCAAGUCAACAGCUUGCGUUGAUUACGUCCCUGCCCUUUGUACACACCGCCCGUCGCUACUACUGAUUGGAUGUUUAAGCGAGGUUCUCGAACUGCUAGCGACUUAGCUUCGGUGAGGUCGCAGUGUGGGACGUGAACCUAGCUUUGGUGUCUAGAGGAAGUAAAAGUCGUAACA